UAGUCCACGCUGUAAACGAUGAGAACUAGUCGUCGGGAGGGUUUGCCACUCGGUGACGCAGCUAACGCACUAAGUUCUCCGCCUGGGGAGUACGCCGGCAACGGUAAAACUCAAAGUAAUUGACGGGGGCCCGCACAAGCGGUGGAGCAUGUGGUUUAAUUCGAUGCAACGCGAAGAACCUUACCUGGUCUUGACAUCCUGCGAACUUUCCAGAGAUGGAUCGGUGCCUUCGGGAGCGCAGUGACAGGUGCUGCAUGGCUGUCGUCAGCUCGUGUCGUGAGAUGUUGGGUUAAGUCCCGCAACGAGCGCAACCCUUGUCUCUAGUUGCCAGCACUUCGGGUGGGAACUCUAGAGAGACUGCCGGUGACAAACCGGGAGGAAGGUGGGGGAUGACGUCAAGUCAUCAUGGCCCUUAUGACCAGGGGCUACACACGUGCUACAAUGGCCGGUAC
This 452-nucleotide ribosomal RNA is filed under the name uncultured bacterium. Its description in RNAcentral is "bacterial SSU rRNA". It matches the Rfam family "Bacterial small subunit ribosomal RNA", at positions 791 to 1240 of the family's 1533-position model. The record is from RNAcentral.